AUGGAUUCCACCAUGAUGCGGAUCGUGCACCAAGCAAUGAACAAGGCGCAUGAAAAGAUGCAGAGCAAAGAAGGUGUUCUUCAGCGCUUGAAUGAGAUAUCCAGAUUCUAUGAGUUGGCUGUCAUGCAGCUGGAAGGGUGUUUGAAGUUUGUUCGGCAAGAGACCGACAGCUGCAUUCUUGAGAGCAGCCAUGAGCAGGUGCUGACAGACUUGACUGAGAUUCGAAACCGCCUUCAAGGGCGCCUCAAGGAGUCUGAGAUGGCAAUCAUGGCCAAGGAUAGAGAAUUGGCUUCGCUGCGUUCCAACACCGCGAAUCUCAAGCUUGAAAGAAGAACGAAGAGUGAGCCUGUUGAAGAAUACAUUUUUAGUAAUUGGAUGGGUGGGGAUGAUGAUGAUGAUAGAGAUAAUGAACUUUUUUGUGAGUUGAAGAAUUCAGUGGAUCAGCAGGUUUUGAAUAUCAGACAGAAGCUUCAGCCUGAUUACAGGUUCAAAGAUAAGGAAGGAAAUUCAGAAGUUGUUGAAGGGAUCAACAACAAAAGGAUUGAGCAGAUGGGUUCAGACAUGGGGAUUUUGAAGGAAACUUUGGAUCUUGCUUUUGGGAAAAUGCAGAAUGCCAUUUUCAGGCCUGAGGUUGGGCCAAUUGAGCAGCAAUGGAGAUGGGAUGUUGAGAAAGACACAAUGUCUGCUUUGCUUCAAGGGUUCAUGAGUGAUUUCCAAGAAACUGUUGAAGCACAAGUGUGGAAGGAAGAGGAGCACGUUUGUCUUGGCUUGAAGGAGUACUGGUAUGAUUUGAUGGAUGAGGUUGUGAACUUGCGCCAUGAACUAGAUUCUUUCGUUGGUGAUAAUGAGGUGGUGCAAGUGAAGAGUACUGAUCCAUUGCAAACAAGCCUUGGAGGCAAAGUUUCAAACAGAACAAAUGAAAAGCAUUCACCAGAAGAUUUUAGUCAUGGAAAGCCUGAAUAUCAGCUGUCUUUAAAGGCUGAAGAGGUUAUGCAAGAAGUCCAUGAAGAGGAAAGGGAAGAGGAUGGAGGCCACUUUGUUUCCAAGAUGAUAAAGAAUCAUGAAUCCAUCAUCCGGAAGAAAAGUGCACAGGUAGAAGAGCUGAAUUUGCUGAAGCGAGAAAUUCUUCAACAGAAAGGGAAAUUGUCUAGCAGGAGAGAAGAGAUUGGGAUGCAAGAAAACAGCUUGAAAAGAAGGGUCCAGGAAAUUAUUUUAAAACUAGAUAAAUUAAGAGAUUGGGAUGUUAAGCUUAACGAAACUUUUGGUAAUUAUGAGUUUGAUCAUGAGGAAGAAACUCUUUCAGAGGAGAGGUUCCUGAAAUCUGAUGCAAAUCAUAUUGACAAUUUGGAACUUGUUACUUUGGAAGAUGUAUGGAAGAAGAUGGAUAAAGUACCUUACACAGUAAAUGAAGAGCUACAAAAUGAAGGGAGCAGGCUGAAACAAGACCAAGAAGAAGAAAAUUUGAAAGCUGUGAUAAUGGAAAGGACCUAUGUUACUCUUCUUGAAAGUUUAAUAAAAGAGAAUUGCAUUGAAUUACAUGAUUUUGAGUUAGAGAACCUGAUUUGGAAGGACAUAUGUAAUCUUCUCCUUACAGAAGUGGUCAAUCAAUGGAAGGAGAAUAUUGAAGGUAACAACAUUGAAUCUCAAACCAGAGAAGAGAUAUAUUGCACCGUCCUCCGCGAGGCAAUCAAGGAUUAUAGCUCAAAUGGUAACUUUGCAUUAGUAGAGUGUCAGGAUUUGAGGGUUGAAAAUAAUUCUUUAGAAGACUCAGCAUUCUCAGACAAGUUUUGUUACGUGGAAGGGACAAUAAGAGAGGAUGUAUGCUGGACCCUUUUGCAUGAAAUGCUCAAGGAGUGGAAUGAAUGCAUAUAUGGUUGUGAAACUGAGAGCUUUCUUAGAGAAGAGGUAGACUGGCUUAUUUGUAAUGAGACAAUCAAAGAGUUUGUAAAAACUGCCGGUGAUCCAUUGGCUCAAUAUCAAGAUAUUUUUACCAGGGAGUUUAUUCAGACCACAGAAAGUUUUGUGAGGGAGGAUAUCUGUAUGGUUUUCAUCGGAGAAACGAUCAAGGAAUGGAAGAUGGAGAGUCUCAGUAGGGAAGAAAUUUUUCAUUUUGUCAUGGGUGAGGUAUUGAGAGAUGCAUUUGACCUGUUUAGCGAAGCUGAUUCUGGGACUCAUGACAAAUUCCCAAAAGGCAUGCUCUUUGCUAACAAGUUACAGAAUGAUAGACAGGUCGGUGUAGAGGAGAAUUUGAAUGAAAAGAUAGGUAUGGAGGAAGAUCUGAUGUCAAGUGAAAGUUCUAAAGGGUUGUUAACUAAAUUCCACACUUUCGGUUCGGUGAGCAGCAAGCUAGCAAGUAAGGCUCUAAGAAGUGAGUUAGGAUCUAGUUUAGACAUCCUAGUUGGCGGUUUACAAAAGGUUUAUGAUCAAGUGAGUCCUGCAGUAGGUUCUGCACAUAGCAGUGAGCCGUCUUAUUGCCAACCAAAAACAAAGAAAGAGGUUCAAUUGAACCCAUCUGAUUCUGUGUUCACACCUGUCCUCAGAUUUCAAGAAGUGUUGGUGGACCUUGUGCACACAUCAAAAGAAAAGUUAGAAAUAAACUUCUUGAGAUUGGACAAGAUGAGGGAUGGUAUAAAUAUACUUGUUGAACAUGUUUCCACCUUGAGAAAAAAAGAAUCACUUUAUAGGAACGCUUUUACUAGGAGAUGUCAAGAUCUGUGGAAGGCUGAGACUGAGGUGGACCUUCUGGGUGAUCAAGUGGAUGUUCUUGUAGGCCUUCUUGAAAAAAUUUACACCAUAUUGUCUCAUCAUUCGCCUGUUCUGCAUCAGUAUUUUGAGGUCUCGGACAUCUUACAGUUGAUCAAGAAAGAACUAACUGGAGUUGUCAAUACAUCUAAAAAUUGACAGGUGCAUGAAACCAUGUUCUGCCUAUCAUCCUUUUAUUUUGUAUUGAAGAAAAAGAUAAAAUGUGCUUAUAGAAAUGGAUCUAGUCUGUUAUCUAUGUUGUUUUAGCUGAGGAAAAAUAAAUGAAGUCAACCAAAACAAACAGAAACACAAGGCUGCAGGAGAAGACAAGUGGGAAACCAACAAGGAAAAAAGAAGAAAACAAAAAAGGAAACAACAUUCCUCAAUAGGCUGGCGAACAAUACUAUGUUUUGAGAAGCCCAAAGAGCAAACCAAAACUAAGCUGGCUAUUAGCUCUCGUCAUUGAUUUUAUCUUGAAGCUUUCCAAAGGAGGCGCACCUGCACCCUAUGAACCACCACCACCACCACCACCACCACCACCUACCAAUAAGAAAGGGUCUUCAGGAGGACUAAGUGGUGGGCAGAAGGCAGGGAUAGUGUUUGGAGUGCUGAUAGGGGCAGGACUGAUUGGGUUUGGCGGAUUCGUGUACAAGAAACGUAAGGAUAACAUGAGAAGAGGGCGAUUUGGAGCUGCAGCUAGGACAACCUUUCUUUGAUUUUGACACAUCUUUAUGAUUAAUUGGAAACUGAAAUAGGAGAGGAAAUGAAGAGACCAUGAAUGAAUCUACAUUUAUUAAUUCAAGUUCUGUCUUGUUUUA
Molecule: RNA transcript, 3560 nt
Organism: Prunus dulcis (almond)
Lineage: Eukaryota; Viridiplantae; Streptophyta; Magnoliopsida; Rosales; Rosaceae
Gene name: WPP domain-associated protein
Exons: 5
Source: RefSeq, a predicted model, not a curated record